This 253-nucleotide ribosomal RNA is filed under the name uncultured bacterium. RNAcentral's name for it is "partial 16S ribosomal RNA". It matches the Rfam family "Bacterial small subunit ribosomal RNA", at positions 524 to 776 of the family's 1533-position model. The record is from RNAcentral.
UACGGAGGGUGCAAGCGUUAUCCGGAUUUACUGGGCUUAAAGGGCGCGUAGGCGGAUUGGUGAGUCAGUGGUGAAAUACUUUCGCUUAACGAAGGAACUGCCAUUGAUACUACCAGUCUUGAAUACAGUGGAGGUGGGCGGAAUGCGUCAUGUAGCGGUGAAAUGCUUAGAUAUGACGCAGAACACCAAUUGCGAAGGCAGCUUGCUGGACUGUUAUUGACACUGAGGCACGAAAGCGUGGGGAGCAAACAGG